This 1479-nucleotide long non-coding RNA is filed under the name Anser cygnoides (Swan goose). RNAcentral describes it as "lncRNA (ENSACDG00005005853.1)". The record is from RNAcentral. Lineage: Eukaryota; Metazoa; Chordata; Aves; Anseriformes; Anatidae.
AUGAGGGGACGUCACACCAAAACAGAGUGCCGUGCUGCUAGGGGAGGGGAAGUUAGGAGUAAGGGGGUAAGAAAGCAGGGAGGAAAUCAGCACCACCCUGGCAAGGAAGAACAAAGCUCCCCAAAAAGGAAGGGAUGCUCCCGUCGGAAGAGGGAAUGUGUCACACCGCUUCCUACAGAGGCAGUUUCUUUAUCCUUAGUCCUGCAAAAGCACCCUCAUCUCCCCCUGGCACCAGCGGAAAGAGGAAGGGUGUGCUGGGGAUGUAACCAGCCACUGGCUCCAGCCCAGGAAGGACUUGCAACUCCACCCAGGCAUCUCUCAAGCCAGCUUUAUUUAUUUAUUUAUUUAUUUAUUUAUUUAUUUAUUUAUUUAUUUUUCUUUAGCAAACCACUAAACAAAAUGCUCCUUGUGUCCACUGCGGAUUCCUGCUCCCCAAAUCUUCUGCAACUUUUCUUUGUGGCUUCUUUGGUCCUUAGACAGAGAAAUGAGCUACCUCUGGAGCUCCUAAUGAACAGAGCUGAGUGGCUCCAAGCUUUGGCCGAAAUGGAGGUAGAUUUUAUCCUAGAGGCACACAGGGAUAUACAGAGCAGGCAGAUGAAGACACAUGAUGGAGCUGAGUUAUGGAUCUCUUUGAUCCAACCUGAGCUAGAACUGGAGAAUCCUAAUUUAGGAACUUGCAACCCAUUCCCUGCAGCAAUUUAAUUAUCACAGCAAUGCAAAACCCCUGCAUUUACAUUGCUGAGGCUUUACAUUUUAAUCUUUGUUAAUGAUGCCUGAAAAAAAUUAGGUUCUUUUGUUUACUAAAGAAGCCCCCUGCGUUUUUUUGUUUUUGUUUGUUUGUUUUUCAUGAACACUGCAGAAGUGCAAAAUAUUUACUGUUCUUCAAUUAAUGGCCACAUUGCUAUCGUUUCUGCAAUUCUUUUUAUGCAAAGGUCUCACCAAGCUUUACUAGUACUAGUGAAUCAAAUCUCACCACCUAGCUCCUCUGAAAACCAGAAAGUGUGUUAACUUCGUCCUGCGGUUAUUCUACUUCACAAGCUAUCAAGACAGAGCCAAAAAAUCACUCAGCAACUCAGUCACAAGUCUGAGGACCUCAACUCCUCCUUCUGAUGCACUCUCUUUCUACAGCUUGCUCUGCUGUUGCCACAUUGGGCAAGUAGACAGAGAACACAAGCGUUACAAAGGUAAAACCCUAGACAGGAAAUCUCUCAUCACACAAAUGCUCCUUGGGGCGACUUACCAGGCAGAGCACAAAACAAUGAGGAUAAAUUCAGCGCAGAGAGCCAAAUGCAUCUGGCCAGGCUCCUUUAAAGCCAAUAGUGCUGUAUUUCACAAUGCCCAACCUGCAACGUCUUGAUGUUGAAAUUAAAUGAAUGCUAUUUGCUUGACAAUCAAGACUGAUCUCCAGAUGAAGUUUUAACUAGAAACGGAAAUUAGGCAUAAAAUAAACUAAUAUAUAUACAUAUAUAUAUUCUUCUC